CGAGUCGGCUGGGCGGCCGCGUCGGUGCCUCCGGGCAUCGCCGAGGAACGUCCGGACUCCGCAGAGCAGGGUGGUUGUUAACGGCAACCCGGGGCGACCCGCGGGAAAGUGCCACAGAAAACAGACCGCCGGCGCGAGCCGGUAAGGGUGAAACGGUGAGGUAAGAGCUCACCAGCGUCCCGGGUGACCGGGGCGGCUCGGUAAACCCCACCCGGAGCAAGGCCAAGCAAGGCCGCGACCGCGAGGUCACGGCCGGCGCAGGGUUCGAGGGCUGCUCGCCUGAUCCUGCGGGUAGGCCGCAUGAGCCUGCCGGCAACGGCAGGCCGAGAUGGAUGGCCGCCACCGCGGACCGCAAGGUCCCGGCCACAGAAUCCGGCGUACAGGCCGGCUCGUCCG
Molecule: RNase P RNA, 396 nt
Filed under: Actinoplanes octamycinicus
Lineage: Bacteria; Bacillati; Actinomycetota; Actinomycetes; Micromonosporales; Micromonosporaceae
Description: Actinoplanes ianthinogenes subsp. octamycini Bacterial RNase P class A
Rfam family: Bacterial RNase P class A
About the family: Ribonuclease P (RNase P) is a ubiquitous endoribonuclease, found in archaea, bacteria and eukarya as well as chloroplasts and mitochondria.
Source: Rfam by way of RNAcentral